CCCGCACAAGCAGCGGAGCGUGUGGUUUAAUUCGAUGUUACACGAAGAACUUACCAGGGUUUGACAUGCAAGUGGUAGGAAGCCGAAAGGUGACCGACCCUUCGGGAGCUUGCACAGGUGCUGCAUGGCUGUCGUCAGCUCGUGUCGUGAGAUGUUCGGUUAAGUCCGCUAACGAGCGCAACCCUCGCUGUGUGUUAUAUGUGUCACACGGGACUGCCGGUCUUAAGCCGGAGGAAGGUGGGGAUGAUGUCAAGUCAGCAUGGCCUUUAUAUCCUGGGCUACACACACGCUACAAUGGUCAGUACAACAGGUUGCGAAACCGCGAGGUGGAGCCAAUCCUUAAAGCUGGCCUCAGUUCAGAUUGUAGGCUGCAACUCGCCUGCAUGAAGAUGGAGUUGCUAGUAACCGCAGGUCAGCUAUACUGCGGUGAAUACGUUCCCGGGCCUU
This 447-nucleotide ribosomal RNA is filed under the name uncultured Leptolinea sp. Its description in RNAcentral is "bacterial SSU rRNA". It matches the Rfam family "Bacterial small subunit ribosomal RNA", at positions 920 to 1382 of the family's 1533-position model. Lineage: Bacteria; Bacillati; Chloroflexota; Anaerolineae; Anaerolineales; Anaerolineaceae. The record is from RNAcentral.